This is a long non-coding RNA of Ostrea edulis (European flat oyster), 7283 nucleotides long. RefSeq lists it as uncharacterized. The record is from RefSeq and is a predicted model, not a curated record. NCBI's taxonomy places the organism in Eukaryota, Metazoa, Mollusca, Bivalvia, Ostreida, Ostreidae. The transcript is spliced from 8 exons.
CGCCCUAAAUGUGUACGCAAUAAAAUUAUUUAAAAACCCUACAUUUCUGUGUAUGAUGUUGUCAUUUUAGAGUGAUGAGAGUGUUCGAGUAAGAUCCCUGUGCCUAACAAAUAAUAUUACAAGUAUAUUGUAUCUAUGGUAAAAGUGACCUUAUAUGUGGUGCUACAUGCUGAACAUGUAAUCAUGAGAACCUGUGUAGAAAAUGAUGGAUUAGAGAGAGAUAAAGGGACAUAACUGCUCUUAAAAUCAAGAAAAUUUCCAACUUCACUGUCUACUUCUUUACAUACUGUAUAUGUAUAGAUCUGAAAUAUGCUCUAAUUAAGUAAACAACUCCCCAACAAGAUUUUGAAUACCUGUUCUCUUCUUACAUUCUAUUCUAUGCCAUCCUAAUAGUGAAAACUAAAGAUUCAUGCAAUUCAGUCAAAUGUCAAAGGGGAGGUGGCUUGUUUACAAGUACCACCCAUAAAUGAGAAAAUGGUGUUAACUGUGUUUUUUGUGUACAAAACGUCUCUAAAAUGACUUAUUUCUCUAUCUGCAAGUAUUUUUUCAUAAAUAUGUAUCAUGGUGCUGAGAAGAAAUGUGAUCUACUGUACCUGAGACCUGCCAAUCAGUACAAUUUGUUAAUUACAUGUAGAACAUGUAAAACUACAUGUCAUCUAUGUAAAAAGAAUACACAGUAUAUGAAGUACCCCAAAUAACAUUAUUUUAACCACUAAGCUUAUUUACAUGUACUUACAUGUCACUAUGAUACUUGACCAGAUUCUGGUUUUCCAUAGUACUAAAGCAUAGCUUACCCCCCUUGACUCUGUUGUCUACCAUUGUGACACUAAUGUGAUACAUCUAUUGAAAUAAGGGGUUGUAUUACAUAUCUAAUACAUUUAUCUUGAUAAUAUUAAUGAAAUUGACUGAAUUCCAUGGGUUUCAAAAAAUGCCAUUCUCUUAAAGAAUUCUGACAUCUCAUGUCAUUGACGUCAACUCCCAUUUUUGACAAAUCUGACUUAUUCUGAGUGAAACUACACCAAUACAUCAUGUCGACCGCCCUAAAUGUGUACGCAAUAAAAUUAUUUAAAAACCCUACAUUUCUGUGUAUGAUGUUGUCAUUUUAGAGUGAUGAGAGUGUUCGAGUAAGAUCCCUGUGCCUAACAAAUAAUAUUACAAGUAUAUUGUAUCUAUGGUAAAAGUGACCUUAUAUGUGGUGCUACAUGCUGAACAUGUAAUCAUGAGAACCUGUGUAGAAAAUGAUGGAUUAGAGAGAGAUAAAGGGACAUAACUGCUCUUAAAAUCAAGAAAAUUUCCAACUUCACUGUCUACUUCUUUACAUACUGUAUAUGUAUAGAUCUGAAAUAUGCUCUAAUUAAGUAAACAACUCCCCAACAAGAUUUUGAAUACCUGUUCUCUUCUUACAUUCUAUUCUAUGCCAUCCUAAUAGUGAAAACUAAAGAUUCAUGCAAUUCAGUCAAAUGUCAAAGGGGAGGUGGCUUGUUUACAAGUACCACCCAUAAAUGAGAAAAUGGUGUUAACUGUGUUUUUUGUGUACAAAACGUCUCUAAAAUGACUUAUUUCUCUAUCUGCAAGUAUUUUUUCAUAAAUAUGUAUCAUGGUGCUGAGAAGAAAUGUGAUCUACUGUACCUGAGACCUGCCAAUCAGUACAAUUUGUUAAUUACAUGUAGAACAUGUAAAACUACAUGUCAUCUAUGUAAAAAGAAUACACAGUAUAUGAAGUACCCCAAAUAACAUUAUUUUAACCACUAAGCUUAUUUACAUGUACUUACAUGUCACUAUGAUACUUGACCAGAUUCUGGUUUUCCAUAGUACUAAAGCAUAGCUUACCCCCCUUGACUCUGUUGUCUACCAUUGUGACACUAAUGUGAUACAUCUAUUGAAAUAAGGGGUUGUAUUACAUAUCUAAUACAUUUAUCUUGAUAAUAUUAAUGAAAUUGACUGAAUUCCAUGGGUUUCAAAAAAUGCCAUUCUCUUAAAGAAUUCUGACAUCUCAUGUCAUUGACGUCAACUCCCAUUUUUGACAAAUCUGACUUAUUCUGAGUGAAACUACACCAAUACAUCAUGUCGACCGCCCUAAAUGUGUACGCAAUAAAAUUAUUUAAAAACCCUACAUUUCUGUGUAUGAUGUUGUCAUUUUAGAGUGAUGAGAGUGUUCGAGUAAGAUCCCUGUGCCUAACAAAUAAUAUUACAAGUAUAUUGUAUCUAUGGUAAAAGUGACCUUAUAUGUGGUGCUACAUGCUGAACAUGUAAUCAUGAGAACCUGUGUAGAAAAUGAUGGAUUAGAGAGAGAUAAAGGGACAUAACUGCUCUUAAAAUCAAGAAAAUUUCCAACUUCACUGUCUACUUCUUUACAUACUGUAUAUGUAUAGAUCUGAAAUAUGCUCUAAUUAAGUAAACAACUCCCCAACAAGAUUUUGAAUACCUGUUCUCUUCUUACAUUCUAUUCUAUGCCAUCCUAAUAGUGAAAACUAAAGAUUCAUGCAAUUCAGUCAAAUGUCAAAGGGGAGGUGGCUUGUUUACAAGUACCACCCAUAAAUGAGAAAAUGGUGUUAACUGUGUUUUUUGUGUACAAAACGUCUCUAAAAUGACUUAUUUCUCUAUCUGCAAGUAUUUUUUCAUAAAUAUGUAUCAUGGUGCUGAGAAGAAAUGUGAUCUACUGUACCUGAGACCUGCCAAUCAGUACAAUUUGUUAAUUACAUGUAGAACAUGUAAAACUACAUGUCAUCUAUGUAAAAAGAAUACACAGUAUAUGAAGUACCCCAAAUAACAUUAUUUUAACCACUAAGCUUAUUUACAUGUACUUACAUGUCACUAUGAUACUUGACCAGAUUCUGGUUUUCCAUAGUACUAAAGCAUAGCUUACCCCCCUUGACUCUGUUGUCUACCAUUGUGACACUAAUGUGAUACAUCUAUUGAAAUAAGGGGUUGUAUUACAUAUCUAAUACAUUUAUCUUGAUAAUAUUAAUGAAAUUGACUGAAUUCCAUGGGUUUCAAAAAAUGCCAUUCUCUUAAAGAAUUCUGACAUCUCAUGUCAUUGACGUCAACUCCCAUUUUUGACAAAUCUGACUUAUUCUGAGUGAAACUACACCAAUACAUCAUGUCGACCGCCCUAAAUGUGUACGCAAUAAAAUUAUUUAAAAACCCUACAUUUCUGUGUAUGAUGUUGUCAUUUUAGAGUGAUGAGAGUGUUCGAGUAAGAUCCCUGUGCCUAACAAAUAAUAUUACAAGUAUAUUGUAUCUAUGGUAAAAGUGACCUUAUAUGUGGUGCUACAUGCUGAACAUGUAAUCAUGAGAACCUGUGUAGAAAAUGAUGGAUUAGAGAGAGAUAAAGGGACAUAACUGCUCUUAAAAUCAAGAAAAUUUCCAACUUCACUGUCUACUUCUUUACAUACUGUAUAUGUAUAGAUCUGAAAUAUGCUCUAAUUAAGUAAACAACUCCCCAACAAGAUUUUGAAUACCUGUUCUCUUCUUACAUUCUAUUCUAUGCCAUCCUAAUAGUGAAAACUAAAGAUUCAUGCAAUUCAGUCAAAUGUCAAAGGGGAGGUGGCUUGUUUACAAGUACCACCCAUAAAUGAGAAAAUGGUGUUAACUGUGUUUUUUGUGUACAAAAUGUCUCUAAAAUGACUUAUUUCUCUAUCUGCAAGUAUUUUUUCAUAAAUAUGUAUCAUGGUGCUGAGAAGAAAUGUGAUCUACUGUACCUGAGACCUGCCAAUCAGUACAAUUUGUUAAUUACAUGUAGAACAUGUAAAACUACAUGUCAUCUAUGUAAAAAGAAUACACAGUAUAUGAAGUACCCCAAAUAACAUUAUUUUAACCACUAAGCUUAUUUACAUGUACUUACAUGUCACUAUGAUACUUGACCAGAUUCUGGUUUUCCAUAGUACUAAAGCAUAGCUUACCCCCCUUGACUCUGUUGUCUACCAUUGUGACACUAAUGUGAUACAUCUAUUGAAAUAAGGGGUUGUAUUACAUAUCUAAUACAUUUAUCUUGAUAAUAUUAAUGAAAUUGACUGAAUUCCAUGGGUUUCAAAAAAUGCCAUUCUCUUAAAGAAUUCUGACAUCUCAUGUCAUUGACGUCAACUCCCAUUUUUGACAAAUCUGACUUAUUCUGAGUGAAACUACACCAAUACAUCAUGUCGACCGCCCUAAAUGUGUACGCAAUAAAAUUAUUUAAAAACCCUACAUUUCUGUGUAUGAUGUUGUCAUUUUAGAGUGAUGAGAGUGUUCGAGUAAGAUCCCUGUGCCUAACAAAUAAUAUUACAAGUAUAUUGUAUCUAUGGUAAAAGUGACCUUAUAUGUGGUGCUACAUGCUGAACAUGUAAUCAUGAGAACCUGUGUAGAAAAUGAUGGAUUAGAGAGAGAUAAAGGGACAUAACUGCUCUUAAAAUCAAGAAAAUUUCCAACUUCACUGUCUACUUCUUUACAUACUGUAUAUGUAUAGAUCUGAAAUAUGCUCUAAUUAAGUAAACAACUCCCCAACAAGAUUUUGAAUACCUGUUCUCUUCUUACAUUCUAUUCUAUGCCAUCCUAAUAGUGAAAACUAAAGAUUCAUGCAAUUCAGUCAAAUGUCAAAGGGGAGGUGGCUUGUUUACAAGUACCACCCAUAAAUGAGAAAAUGGUGUUAACUGUGUUUUUUGUGUACAAAAUGUCUCUAAAAUGACUUAUUUCUCUAUCUGCAAGUAUUUUUUCAUAAAUAUGUAUCAUGGUGCUGAGAAGAAAUGUGAUCUACUGUACCUGAGACCUGCCAAUCAGUACAAUUUGUUAAUUACAUGUAGAACAUGUAAAACUACAUGUCAUCUAUGUAAAAAGAAUACACAGUAUAUGAAGUACCCCAAAUAACAUUAUUUUAACCACUAAGCUUAUUUACAUGUACUUACAUGUCACUAUGAUACUUGACCAGAUUCUGGUUUUCCAUAGUACUAAAGCAUAGCUUACCCCCCUUGACUCUGUUGUCUACCAUUGUGACACUAAUGUGAUACAUCUAUUGAAAUAAGGGGUUGUAUUACAUAUCUAAUACAUUUAUCUUGAUAAUAUUAAUGAAAUUGACUGAAUUCCAUGGGUUUCAAAAAAUGCCAUUCUCUUAAAGAAUUCUGACAUCUCAUGUCAUUGACGUCAACUCCCAUUUUUGACAAAUCUGACUUAUUCUGAGUGAAACUACACCAAUACAUCAUGUCGACCGCCCUAAAUGUGUACGCAAUAAAAUUAUUUAAAAACCCUACAUUUCUGUGUAUGAUGUUGUCAUUUUAGAGUGAUGAGAGUGUUCGAGUAAGAUCCCUGUGCCUAACAAAUAAUAUUACAAGUAUAUUGUAUCUAUGGUAAAAGUGACCUUAUAUGUGGUGCUACAUGCUGAACAUGUAAUCAUGAGAACCUGUGUAGAAAAUGAUGGAUUAGAGAGAGAUAAAGGGACAUAACUGCUCUUAAAAUCAAGAAAAUUUCCAACUUCACUGUCUACUUCUUUACAUACUGUAUAUGUAUAGAUCUGAAAUAUGCUCUAAUUAAGUAAACAACUCCCCAACAAGAUUUUGAAUACCUGUUCUCUUCUUACAUUCUAUUCUAUGCCAUCCUAAUAGUGAAAACUAAAGAUUCAUGCAAUUCAGUCAAAUGUCAAAGGGGAGGUGGCUUGUUUACAAGUACCACCCAUAAAUGAGAAAAUGGUGUUAACUGUGUUUUUUGUGUACAAAAUGUCUCUAAAAUGACUUAUUUCUCUAUCUGCAAGUAUUUUUUCAUAAAUAUGUAUCAUGGUGCUGAGAAGAAAUGUGAUCUACUGUACCUGAGACCUGCCAAUCAGUACAAUUUGUUAAUUACAUGUAGAACAUGUAAAACUACAUGUCAUCUAUGUAAAAAGAAUACACAGUAUAUGAAGUACCCCAAAUAACAUUAUUUUAACCACUAAGCUUAUUUACAUGUACUUACAUGUCACUAUGAUACUUGACCAGAUUCUGGUUUUCCAUAGUACUAAAGCAUAGCUUACCCCCCUUGACUCUGUUGUCUACCAUUGUGACACUAAUGUGAUACAUCUAUUGAAAUAAGGGGUUGUAUUACAUAUCUAAUACAUUUAUCUUGAUAAUAUUAAUGAAAUUGACUGAAUUCCAUGGGUUUCAAAAAAUGCCAUUCUCUUAAAGAAUUCUGACAUCUCAUGUCAUUGACGUCAACUCCCAUUUUUGACAAAUCUGACUUAUUCUGAGUGAAACUACACCAAUACAUCAUGUCGACCGCCCUAAAUGUGUACGCAAUAAAAUUAUUUAAAAACCCUACAUUUCUGUGUAUGAUGUUGUCAUUUUAGAGUGAUGAGAGUGUUCGAGUAAGAUCCCUGUGCCUAACAAAUAAUAUUACAAGUAUAUUGUAUCUAUGGUAAAAGUGACCUUAUAUGUGGUGCUACAUGCUGAACAUGUAAUCAUGAGAACCUGUGUAGAAAAUGAUGGAUUAGAGAGAGAUAAAGGGACAUAACUGCUCUUAAAAUCAAGAAAAUUUCCAACUUCACUGUCUACUUCUUUACAUACUGUAUAUGUAUAGAUCUGAAAUAUGCUCUAAUUAAGUAAACAACUCCCCAACAAGAUUUUGAAUACCUGUUCUCUUCUUACAUUCUAUUCUAUGCCAUCCUAAUAGUGAAAACUAAAGAUUCAUGCAAUUCAGUCAAAUGUCAAAGGGGAGGUGGCUUGUUUACAAGUACCACCCAUAAAUGAGAAAAUGGUGUUAACUGUGUUUUUUGUGUACAAAACGUCUCUAAAAUGACUUAUUUCUCUAUCUGCAAGUAUUUUUUCAUAAAUAUGUAUCAUGGUGCUGAGAAGAAAUGUGAUCUACUGUACCUGAGACCUGCCAAUCAGUACAAUUUGUUAAUUACAUGUAGAACAUGUAAAACUACAUGUCAUCUAUGUAAAAAGAAUACACAGUAUAUGAAGUACCCCAAAUAACAUUAUUUUAACCACUAAGCUUAUUUACAUGUACUUACAUGUCACUAUGAUACUUGACCAGAUUCUGGUUUUCCAUAGUACUAAAGCAUAGCUUACCCCCCUUGACUCUGUUGUCUACCAUUGUGACACUAAUGUGAUACAUCUAUUGAAAUAAGGGGUUGUAUUACAUAUCUAAUACAUUUAUCUUGAUAAUAUUAAUGAAAUUGACUGAAUUCCAUGGGUUUCAAAAAAUGCCAUUCUCUUAAAGAAUUCUGACAUCUCAUGUCAUUGACGUCAACUCCCAUUUUUGACAAAUCUGACUUAUUCUGAGUGAAACUACACCAAUACAUCAUGUCGACCGCCCUAAAUGUGUACGCAAUAAAAUUAUUU